This 486-nucleotide ribosomal RNA is filed under the name uncultured bacterium. RNAcentral's name for it is "partial 16S ribosomal RNA". It matches the Rfam family "Bacterial small subunit ribosomal RNA", at positions 30 to 507 of the family's 1533-position model. The record is from RNAcentral.
AUUGAACGCUGGCGGCAUGCCUUACACAUGCAAGUCGAACGGCAGCACGGGUGCUUGCACCUGGUGGCGAGUGGCGAACGGGUGAGUAAUACAUCGGAACAUGUCCUGUAGUGGGGGAUAGCCCGGCGAAAGCCGGAUUAAUACCGCAUACGAUCUACGGAUGAAAGCGGGGGACCUUCGGGCCUCGCGCUAUAGGGUUGGCCGAUGGCUGAUUAGCUAGUUGGUGGGGUAAAGGCCUACCAAGGCGACGAUCAGUAGCUGGUCUGAGAGGACGACCAGCCACACUGGGACUGAGACACGGCCCAGACUCCUACGGGAGGGAGCAGUGGGGAAUUUUGGACAAUGGGGGAAAGCCUGAUCCAGCAAUGCCGCGUGUGUGAAGAAGGCCUUCGGGUUGUAAAGCACUUUUGUCCGGAAAGAAAUCCUUGGCCCUAAUACGGUCGGGGGAUGACGGUACCGGAAGAAUAAGCACCGGCUAACUACGUG